Solenopsis invicta (red fire ant) is the source of this 1592-nucleotide long non-coding RNA. RefSeq lists it as uncharacterized. The record is from RefSeq and is a predicted model, not a curated record. NCBI's taxonomy places the organism in Eukaryota, Metazoa, Arthropoda, Insecta, Hymenoptera, Formicidae. The transcript has 2 exons.
UGGAGAGAAUUUAAUUUUUAAUUUACAGAUUAUUCGAGAUUCUCCUUCGUACCAUAAAAGAUGCAGACAUUUUUAACGCAAUUGAAAAAAUUAUUGGCUCAUUGUAGGAUAUUAUAACAAAUUUGUUUUAAAGUCUGUGUUGGGAGCUGUAAAAGACAAAGAUAUAUAUGCGGGUCAGUCUUUUCUCUAUAGGGACGCACACUUGCAAAGCGAAGAGUGCAGGUGCUUAGGGCAUUCACCUUCGUUCAAGUGAGCAAAGAGAGUUCAAGGUCAUCGAAACACGUGGUAAAUCACUACAGCAGGAAUGUUCGCAUCAAAGUAAAAAAAAACAUACAAUAAGUAUAUAAAAAAAACAUUAAAUUAAUAUAUUAAAUAUAAUAAAAUUAAUUUAGUAAAAUAUAAAUUAAUUUAAAAUUGGGAUUUAAUUUAAAAAAAUGGAAAAUUUAAAUACUUAUACCCUAAAUAUCUCUAAUCAUAUAAUUUUAAAAUUUGAACAAUAUAUACAUGUGUAAUUACGAAUAUAUAAAUUCACAUUUUCGAACGUAAUCGUAAAUAUAUAUAUGUUCAGAAAAUUUUUAAUUAAUUCGAUUAAACGCCUAACUCGCGCGAAAUCACACUUAACGGUAUUUAAAAUCGUACGGUCACUAGAUACUUAUUCGAUCUUUAAAAGUGUAUUUUCAAAUACACUUUUAAAGAUAUUUGAAUUUAUACAGCUGUUUCCUUGAUUAUAAUAUUAACCAUUUAAAUGGAUAGUUUGACAAUUGAUCGUAAAUAAAUCAAGAUCUACUAUCUUAAUCUACUCACGUUUAAUUAGUCACCGUUUCGUUUAGAAUGUUCUUACGACAGCAACGCGACUCGAAUACUUGAGAGCCUCUGUCUACGAACCAUGACCUUUAGACAAAUUAAUCAGCGUCCUUGAGAUUGAUUUCUUUCUCAGAUCAUGAAAGAUUGUUCGCUCUCGAAGAGAGUUACUAUCAUUUUAAUUUAGAAUAAAGCUGACGCAUUGCUCCUGGUAUUCUUUAUCGUCUCGGCGGAUUUUUAAUUACGAUAUGUGUAAUUCACUUUUGUUACGAGACCGAGAGACUUAAAAACGGAAUGAAGAGAUCGUUACCUCGGCCCAGGACCAAGUACUAGACAAUUCAGUGAUAAGAAGGCGAUUGAUUUCGAUCCGAAGUGAUCCAAAGAACUCUCCGAGUCACUUUCGCGCGACGACUGACACCGACUAGCGACUCUGCCUUGAAUAGUAGCCGUAGAGGAGCGAAGGACUUUAGUAUAUCGUGGGACGCGCGAGACAUCCCCUCCUCCGUGAUGCCAUACCGGCACGCACACUAUGCCCUUCCUGCCAGCCUUGUCUCGCUCCACUCCAGCGCCAGCCACCCGUUCUACGAUUCUCAUCUAAAGAGUUCCUCCUUUCACAUCGCACACGAACAAGAUAACGAGAAGCGGGACGAAUCUCGUCAUCGUCUCGCACCAACUGUAUUCGACGCUUACAACACAACCGCUGCUGGAUUAGUAAAAGCGCGUUGCUCAUCUUCGGCGCCUUGAUUGAGCAACAGCUCAGCCUUUGGCCGCAAGAACCUGUUUUGAGGCGA